Pelobates cultripes (western spadefoot toad) is the source of this 407-nucleotide non-coding RNA. NCBI's taxonomy places the organism in Eukaryota, Metazoa, Chordata, Amphibia, Anura, Pelobatidae. The record is from the annotation of a GenBank genome assembly.
GUAGUAUGCUGGGGCAGAGUGACGUAAUAUUUUGUAUAUUGUAAUGUGAUGUUGCUACGCAGAAAACCAAUCCUUAAGUAUGGUGUUGGCAAGAAGAUUGGCAAUUUGGUUGAGCUUAUUAAGAAAGUUGGUGGGGUUUGUGCUGGUGACUAAAGAAUUUAGGAUGUUCUCCAUCAACAAUUCCACAAAGCAACUGACAAAAAGAAAGCCGUUUAAUUACCACCUAUCUCUGUGUUGAACAGAGAAUUUACACCUGGCACAUCGUAUAUGAAUGGGUACUCAGCACUCCUUUUUAGACCCACACAGCUGAUCAGCAAUUUCCAAGGAGAAGUAUUAGAUCGGAAAAAAGCCAGAGGAAGCAAUGAGAUACAUGCAGUCAUGGUGUCUCAAAGCAUCUUCAAACUUUA